RNAcentral lists this ribosomal RNA (511 nucleotides) under uncultured Desulfobulbus sp. RNAcentral's name for it is "bacterial SSU rRNA". It matches the Rfam family "Bacterial small subunit ribosomal RNA", at positions 903 to 1382 of the family's 1533-position model. Lineage: Bacteria; Pseudomonadati; Thermodesulfobacteriota; Desulfobulbia; Desulfobulbales; Desulfobulbaceae. The record is from RNAcentral.
CGCCUUGCCAGCCCGCUCAGAACUUAAAGGAAGUUGACGGGGGCCCGCACAAGCGGUGGAGUAUGUGGUUUAAUUCGAUGCAACGCGAAGAACCUUACCUGGUCUUGACAUCCCGGAGACCCUUAGGAAACUAGGGGGUGCUUCCAUCUGGAAGAAUCUGGAGACAGGUGCUGCAUGGCUGUCGUCAGCUCGUGUCGUGAGAUGUUGGGUUAAGUCCCGCAACGAGCGCAACCCUUGCCUUUAGUUGCCAGCAGUUCGGCUGGGCACUCUAAAGGGACUGCCGGUGUUAAACCGGAGGAAGGUGGGGAUGACGUCAAGUCCUCAUGGCCUUUAUGACCAGGGCUACACACGUACUACAAUGGCCGAUACAAAGGGCAGCGACACUGCGAGGUGAAGCCAAUCCCGUAAAAUCGGUCUCAGUCCGGAUUGGAGUCUGCAACUCGACUCCAUGAAGUUGGAAUCGCUAGUAAUCGUGGAUCAGCAUGCCACGGUGAAUACGUUCCCGGGCCUU